RNAcentral lists this ribosomal RNA (305 nucleotides) under uncultured bacterium. RNAcentral's name for it is "bacterial SSU rRNA". It matches the Rfam family "Bacterial small subunit ribosomal RNA", at positions 495 to 793 of the family's 1533-position model. The record is from RNAcentral.
GGCUAACUCCGUGCCAGCAGCCGCGGUAAUACGGAGGGUGCGAGCGUUAAUCGGAAUUACUGGGCGUAAAGCGCAUGCAGGUGGUUCGUUAAGUCAGAUGUGAAAGACCCGGGCGUCUAACCUCGGAAUUGCAUUUGAAACUGGCAGACUAGAGUACUCGUAGAGGGGGGUAGGAAUUUCACGGUGUAGCGGUGAAAAUGCGUAGAGAUCUGAAGGAAUACCGGUGGCGAAGGCGGCCCCUCGGACAGAUACUGACACUCAGAUGCGAAAGCGUGGGGAGCAAACAGGAUUAGAUACCCUGGUAG